This 253-nucleotide ribosomal RNA is filed under the name uncultured bacterium. RNAcentral describes it as "partial 16S ribosomal RNA". It matches the Rfam family "Bacterial small subunit ribosomal RNA", at positions 524 to 776 of the family's 1533-position model. The record is from RNAcentral.
UACGUAGGGGGCGAGCGUUGUCCGGAUUUACUGGGCGUAAAGCGCGUGUAGGCGGGACUUUAAGUCGGGUGUGAAAGCCCGGGGCUCAACCCCGGGAUGCCGCCCGAGACUGGAGCCCUUGAGGACGGAAGAGGGGAGUGGAAUUCCUGGUGUAGCGGUGAAAUGCGUAGAGAUCAGGAGGAACACCCGUGGCGAAGGCGGCUCCCUGGUCCGUUUCUGACGCUGAGACGCGAAAGCGCGGGGAGCGAACGGG